CUUCGUCGAUCUGCUGCGGGCUGAUGAAGUGGAUAUGCGAAUCGAUGCCGCCCGCCGUGACGAUCAGCCCUUCGCCCGCGAUCACUUCCGUCGCCGCGCCGAUCGCGAUGUUCACGUUCGGCUGGAUAUCCGGAUUGCCCGCCUUGCCGAUGGCGAAAAUGCGUCCGCCCUUGAUACCGAUAUCGGCUUUGACGAUGCCCCAGUGAUCGAGGAUCAGCGCAUUGGUGACGACGGUAUCGACGACAUCGGCGGCGGGGCGCUGCGACUGGCCCAUGCCGUCGCGGAUG
Molecule: small RNA, 287 nt
Organism: Candidatus Burkholderia verschuerenii
Lineage: Bacteria; Pseudomonadati; Pseudomonadota; Betaproteobacteria; Burkholderiales; Burkholderiaceae
Rfam family: 5' ureB small RNA
Source: Rfam